Strongylocentrotus purpuratus (purple sea urchin) is the source of this 201-nucleotide long non-coding RNA. RefSeq lists it as uncharacterized. The transcript is spliced from 2 exons. The record is from RefSeq and is a predicted model, not a curated record. NCBI's taxonomy places the organism in Eukaryota, Metazoa, Echinodermata, Echinoidea, Camarodonta, Strongylocentrotidae.
UUGUCUGUCGAGCGUCAAGUCACUGGAGAUGAGCUCUCCAGUUUUCCCAGUUUUCCCGUUUUUGUCCUGUUUGACAGUGACAUCAGUGAGCCCAGUGUUUCGGCAGUAAAUUGCUAAGUUCCGGCCAAAGAAAUUGAAUUUUGAUUCUGUGUUGUCUUCGACUCUUCGUUUGAGGAAGCAAAUAAAGACGUCAUAAUCCCA